Electrophorus electricus (electric eel) is the source of this 1717-nucleotide long non-coding RNA. RefSeq lists it as uncharacterized. The record is from RefSeq and is a predicted model, not a curated record. Lineage: Eukaryota; Metazoa; Chordata; Actinopteri; Gymnotiformes; Gymnotidae.
UCCAAUAAUAAAAGCAACGCUCAUCAAACCACAGAAAGACUUGAAACAAUACAGAGCAAUGAAACUAUGGCUCCUACAAUGCUAUGAAUUGAACAUGCUCUCCUAUCUCCAUAUUACCAUUCAAAAGCACUAGUACUGAACAUUUAUCCAUUGUUUGGACUUCAUGUUUGCUAUAAAGGGGUGAUAAGUAAUGCAAUGGGUGUAAAGUUACACGAUUUGGGAAUCAGUGAAAUUGUGAAACUGGUGUUUUUCUUCACUUUUAGGACCUUGAAUGCUUUUGAGACUUUGGGAAUGCACUGAACCAAGAGGGUGUUUGUGAAAAUACAUGAAAUACAUGCUUCUUCUGAAACUGGACAAAACACUAAAAACUGAAUAUAAAAUUUCCAAUUUCAGUUUAACUUCAUAUACAGAGAAAGAUACAUACAUGUAACUUAAACGAAACUUGACAUUUAAGCUAUAUAAAAUUGGGAAAUAUAGUUAACUAGGAAGCACUAGGGAGAAAAACAAUCUAGAUGUUAAAAAAAUAUCUAGCUACCAAAUUUAAGGAACAUUUUGAUUGUCGGGUGAAAAAGUAAAAAAAAUAAAAUAAAAAUUUAAAAUAACAGAGAGAACGGGAGGAAACUGUUGGCCAGUGUAAUGUACUAGAUAAUUAACUCGUAUAGCGAGCUAAAAAUAAAGUGUACUUUUGACAUUAGGCUUGCUUCCGAUGAUCUCCAUACUAUGCAAAUAGUCGUGCUAAAGCUAAAUGUUAAUGGCUGAAAAAGCAAUAAACACGAUGCAAAACAAUAUUUUGGGGCCUUGGCCAGCGGAAAAAAAUAGUGCGCAACUCGCCAGCUAGCCACCUAGCUAGCUCAAUUGUUAAUGCUAACAUUUUGUUUAGCAUUAGCUUAAGUUGGUCAAAUUCUACCAAAUCUGCCGUGGCCAACUACACUUUACCGGAGUUAACCGUCGUGUUGGGUUAAAAACCGCCGCCGUCGGUAACACGUUUAAUGGCCGGCCGCUGCGCUAUUCGAGCGGUUUCUUACUUGGUCCUUUUGACAACUUAUCGGCUAACAUUAGCUACAGAUAGCUAGCCUCAGAUAGCAUACGUGGCUAACGAUGAGGAAGUCCACAUCAUGUAAAGUAGCUUAACCUAGCCGGUUACUCAUUCCUGUUGGACUUGUAAGCGUCUCCGAGAACACACAGGCUUCGUUUUGAGAAGGAAAAAAAAGAAUUAAAUUAGAUUAGUAACUGUAGCUAAGAAGAGUGGAGUUAAAUAGCUGGCGUUUACUCAGGUCCAUUUGUUCUUUACUAUGAGGAAGACUGAGUUACAUGGUCGAUGCUCUUUGCAUAGUGGCCAUUUAGUCCUUCGAUGAUGGCAAGAGCCUCGAACAAUGAAUGGAUUUCUAAAUUCUGUGGCGAGGUGAAAUGAAACUCAUUCACUCAAAAUGGCGACGGUUCUUCUCCGGAGGAGAAGGGGCGGGGUUAGCGGGCACUGACGUCAUUGCGGAAAAAAGGGACAGGGAGGGGCGGAGUCAAAUUAUCCACGGGUACAAGGCUGCAACUCAGUUGGAAUAGCUAGGACUGGAGGAAAAGAAGGAUUGUAGACAAAUGUGUCAUUGCCACAAGACUACUGUGCAUUCUCUUGAAUUUGUUGUAUGUUUUAUAGAAAAAAUAUUUUGAAAGGAAAUUUAGGUACUUCUAAAAAUGCCUGAUAAAUAAAUAAUAUAGUAAUUUG